This 287-nucleotide ribosomal RNA is filed under the name uncultured bacterium. RNAcentral describes it as "partial 16S ribosomal RNA". It matches the Rfam family "Bacterial small subunit ribosomal RNA", at positions 355 to 635 of the family's 1533-position model. The record is from RNAcentral.
UAGGGAAUCUUCCACAAUGGACGCAAGUCUGAUGGAGCAACGCCGCGUGAGUGAAGAAGGUUUUCGGAUCGUAAAGCUCUGUUGUUGGUGAAGAAGGAUAGAGGCAGUAACCGGUCUUUAUUUGACGGUAAUCAACCAGAAAGUCACGGCUAACUACGUGCCAGCAGCCGCGGUAAUACGUAGGUGGCAAGCGUUGUCCGGAUUUAUUGGGCGUAAAGCGAGCGCAGGCGGAAUGAUAAGUCUGAUGUGAAAGCCACGGCUCAACCGUGGAACUGCAUCGGAAACUG